Molecule: ribosomal RNA, 497 nt
Filed under: uncultured bacterium
Lineage: Bacteria
Description: partial 16S ribosomal RNA
Rfam family: Bacterial small subunit ribosomal RNA
Source: RNAcentral
GAUGAACGCUGGCGGCGUGCCUAAUACAUGCAAGUCGAGCGAACAGAUGAGGAGCUUGCUCCUCUGACGUUAGCGGCGGACGGGUGAGUAACACGUGGAUAACCUACCUAUAAGACUGGGAUAACUUCGGGAAACCGGAGCUAAUACCGGAUAAUAUAUUGAACCGCAUGGUUCAAUAGUGAAAGACGGUUUUGCUGUCACUUAUAGAUGGAUCCGCGCCGCAUUAGCUAGUUGGUAAGGUAACGGCUUACCAAGGCAACGAUGCGUAGCCGACCUGAGAGGGUGAUCGGCCACACUGGAACUGAGACACGGUCAAGACUCCUAAGGGAGGCAGCAGUAGGGAAUCUUCCGCAAUGGGCGAAAGCCUGACGGAGCAACGCCGCGUGAGUGAUGAAGGUCUUCGGAUCGUAAAACUCUGUUAUUAGGGAAGAACAAAUGUGUAAGUAACUAUGCACGUCUUGACGGUACCUAAUCAGAAAGCCACGGCUAACUACGUG